GAUGAACGCUGGCGGCGUGCCUAAUACAUGCAAGUCGAGCGAACAGACGAGGAGCUUGCUCCUCUGACGUUAGCGGCGGACGGGUGAGUAACACGUGGAUAACCUACCUAUAAGACUGGGAUAACUUCGGGAAACCGGAGCUAAUACCGGAUAAUAUAUUGAACCGCAUGGUUCAAUAGUGAAAGACGGUUUUGCUGUCACUUAUAGAUGGAUCCGCGCCGCAUUAGCUAGUUGGUAAGGUAACGGCUUACCAAGGCAACGAUGCGUAGCCGACCUGAGAGGGUGAUCGGCCAAACUGGAACUGAGACCCGGUCCAGACUCCUACGGGAGGCAGCAGUAGGGAAUCUUCCGCAAUGGGCGAAAGCCUGACGGAGCAACGCCGCGUGAGUGAUGAAGGUCUUCGGAUCGUAAAACUCUGUUAUUAGGGAAGAACAAAUGUGUAAGUAACUAUGCACGUCUUGACGGUACCUAAUCAGAAAGCCACGGCUAACUACGUG
This 497-nucleotide ribosomal RNA is filed under the name uncultured bacterium. Its description in RNAcentral is "partial 16S ribosomal RNA". It matches the Rfam family "Bacterial small subunit ribosomal RNA", at positions 28 to 507 of the family's 1533-position model. The record is from RNAcentral.